RNAcentral lists this ribosomal RNA (912 nucleotides) under Aspergillus flavus var. flavus. RNAcentral describes it as "LSU rRNA". It matches the Rfam family "Eukaryotic large subunit ribosomal RNA", at positions 38 to 960 of the family's 3401-position model. The record is from RNAcentral. Lineage: Eukaryota; Fungi; Ascomycota; Eurotiomycetes; Eurotiales; Aspergillaceae.
GCAUAUCAAUAAGCGGAGGAAAAGAAACCAACCGGGAUUGCCUCAGUUAACGGCGAAGUGAAGCGGCAAGAAGCUUCAAAUUUGAAAGCUGGCUCCUUCGGGGUCCGCAUUGUAAUUUGCAGAGGAKGCUUCGGGUGCGGCCCCUGUCUAAGUGCCCUGGAACGGGCCGUCAGAGAGGGUGAGAAUCCCGUCUGGGAUGGGGUGUCCGCGCCCGUGUGAAGCUCCUUCGACGAGUCGAGUUGUUUGGGAAUGCAGCUCUAAAUGGGUGGUAAAUUUCAUCUAAAGCUAAAUACUGGCCGGAGACCGAUAGCGCACAAGUAGAGUGAUCGAAAGAUGAAAAGCACUUUGAAAAGAGAGUUAAAAAGCACGUGAAAUUGUUGAAAGGGAAGCGCUUGCGACCAGACUCGCCUCCAGGGUUCAGCCGGCAUUCGUGCCGGUGUACUUCCCUGGGGGCGGGCCAGCGUCGGUUUGGGCGGCCGGUCAAAGGCUCCCGGAAUGUAGUGCCCUCCGGGGCACCUUAUAGCCGGGAGUGCAAUGCGGCCAGCCUGGACCGAGGAACGCGCUUCGGCACGGACGCUGGCAUAAUGGUCGUAAACGACCCGUCUUGAAACACGGACCAAGGAGUCUAACAUCUACGCGAGUGUUCGGGUGUCAAACCCGUACGCGCAGUGAAAGCGAACGGAGGUGGGAGCCCCCUCGUGGGGCGCACCAUCGACCGAUCCUGAUGUCUUCGGAUGGAUUUGAGUAAGAGCGUAAAUGUGGGGACCCGAAAGAUGGUGAACUAUGCCUGAAUAGGGCGAAGCCAGAGGAAACUCUGGUGGAGGCUCGCAGCGGUUCUGACGUGCAAAUCGAUCGUCAAAUUUGGGUAUAGGGGGCGAAAGACUAAUCGAACCAUCUAGUAGCUGGUUCUGC